RNAcentral lists this long non-coding RNA (3639 nucleotides) under Elaeis guineensis (African oil palm). RNAcentral's name for it is "long non-coding RNA (EGUI_LNC074507)". Lineage: Eukaryota; Viridiplantae; Streptophyta; Magnoliopsida; Arecales; Arecaceae. The record is from RNAcentral.
UAUAUAUAUAUAUAUAUAUAUAUAUAUAUAUAUAUAUAUAAUUUUUAUGUAGUCGUAUUUUAUUUGGCGCAGUUGGGAUUUAAAACAGAAAGAUGGCAAACAUGACUCAUCUUUUUCAGUUGAAAUGCUUUCCAAUUUAUGUUAAAUCUCCAUCUGAGGUGAAACCUUUUCACUGUGAAGGGAAAAAAAAUCCCAUGCAAAAUCAUAUCAUAAGCAAAAGACUUUCUAUAUAACAAGAGGGAUGAAAUAUCAUAGAGUAACUUGCUUGAAUGAGCUAUGUAAUUCCUUCAAUGCAGUUUAGUUGUUAAUAAAGCUCAUCUUUAGGCGGCCUAAUUUUCUCAAUCACUUACACAGAAUCUAAGUGAAUGAAAGCAAAAAUAUAUUAUGAGGGUUACAUUGAGUCCCAGAGUAUUUCCAUAUUAUAGUUUCAAGCUAGUUUUGCAGAAGGCAUGUUGUUCUAAUUUUGCAAGAAAAUGCAUUUUGAAAUAUCUGGCCAGUUAAUCUGUGCAUUGGGUGGCACUUAUUUUUAUAUCAGUUUUAGGUAUCCUUUUUGUGGUUCCUUAAGAGGUUGGAAUGGAGUCAUGCAAUAAAUCUGAAGGCAGCCCAAAGCUUUUAAAGGAGGCUGUUGUUUUUUACAGCAUUAGGGAGCUAGAAUUAUUGAAAUUUAAAUAUCGUACCCUGUUGGUAGAGGGUCUGCCUGCGCUAACUGUGGCCAUUGAUAUGCCUAGAGUUUCUGGAAGUGUUUCAUAAUUUUGAUGCCCGUUUUAAGAAAUUCACAUUUUAUUAGGGAAUGUAGCAGAUUCUGAAACAGGGAGUUGUGGUGGGAUAUCAGAACAAGGUAACUUUGAGAUAUGUUUGCCUAGGAGUACAAAGGAGAUUAGCAUACGUAGUUUCAUUAGUAUUGAAGUCAAGUUUAUAAUUUCUUGUUUGUCUUUUGCUUGUACAAAAAGCUGAGUUUUUGGAUGCAUUAGUCUUUCAACAGGCAAUUUGCACAUGUGAAUGGUGGAAAAUGUUUUCCCAUCUUUUCUAUUUUCAUGUUUAUGAAAUUGUUUAAGAGCCUCACAAAAUAAUUGCAAAUAAUGCGGACUUAUAUAUCCAAGGAAUCAAAAUAUUGAGAAGGAACAAUAAUCAUUUACUUUAAGAAACUGGUUUUAGAAUUGCAAGCAUACUAUAUUUAGGCUAUACCUUUAUGUCUUCCCUUAUAGUUUCUGAAUAUUCUUAGAAUCUGAAUUUGAAAUAAAAGAAGAUGUAGUCAAAUAAUUAAUGAUAUAGAUUGUAAGCCUGUGUCAUUAGGAUUUAGAGAUUCAUGGUGAUCAUGAAAGACUUGUUUCUGGAUUCCUCUGAGCUAACAAAGAGUGUUGCAGUUAAACUGUUAUACUGGUAGACUUACUUUGAAUAAUGAAUUCUCCCUGCAGACUGUUCAAUUUAUUUCACUAGAAACAUGGAUCAUGCACUCACCUGUCUAAAAUUGAUGGUGAUACCAUUGAAAUCAGCAGCAUUAGAGGACCAGGUAAUGCUGAGCUUGGUAGAAAAGUCAGUUACAAAAAUGAGGGAGAUCCUCCGAGCCCAGGUGCCAGAUGUAAAAAUAAAGGAUGAAGCUUCAUUAAGCACAGUGGUGGUUUAUUGGCUCAAUCCAAGAUAAUAUAUUGAAUAUUGACAUGAAAUACAUUGGUGUAUUAUGGUCUCAUUCCAAAUGCUGGCCAAAGGGCAGGUUACUAAGUACUUUCCAUUGGCUUAAUAAGCCUCGGUAGGCCCUAAUUGUUGGCACAAUAAACAUAAUGACAUGCUUGUUGGCUGAAUCCUAGCCCAUAUGAUACCAAUGGUUUAGUAAGCAUAUAUUGACAUGCUAGUUGGCUUAAUCUCCGUUUUGAUUUAUCAAGUUGUUUAUCAACUCAUGAUGAGAUGAUAUUUGUGUUUAUGGGUUCAAAAAAUCUAAGACCCUCAUGUUGUCAUCUAUGUUUGCUAAUCAUUCUGAAAAGUGAUGAAAACAACAUAUAUUAGCCACCAUUUAUUUGUAGAAGUUAUCUUCUCGAAACUCUGUCAUUCUUUUAGAGAGAUGUUCCAUUCCAGGUUGAUUUCUCUGGGAGGCACCUAUUGCACAAAUAUAUGUGUGAGCUCGGAACAGGACAAUUUGUUUCCUUUAUGCCGUUCUCUCUAAUCUAAUAUUUCUUUGGACUAUUAUGUGUUUCUAUUGUAGGUAAGUUAUCUACAUGUAUAAAUUCAGAAAAUGGAGGCAUUCUUAUAUUAUGUUUCUUCUCUAGGUUAUUAAUAUAUUAAUGGUAAAAUGUUGGUUAUCAAUGUCUGUUUGGGAGCUUGGCAAAUUUUUUGUGUUUUAUAUGUGUAUUUAUAUGUGUAUAUCUUGAUUCUAAUUUCAAAGGUGGAGUUUACACUGGAGCAACAACUUUUGAUCAGGACCUGCACUAUUAUUGGUCAAAGAACAUUUAGAUGUGUUUUUUUCGCUUGUCUUGAAUCUUGAACAGUUGAAGGGAUUGAUCUUGUUGGAGAGAGAAUCUGCUUGACCUCCUUGAUUUCAUUCUGCAGCCGUGAAUCCAUUGUUUCUUUUUUAUGGAAAGUGCCAUUUUGUCCAAAUUUUCAUGGAGCUUUUUACCCAUGCAGGGUUAAAAUUUUUUAUGUGCAUACCUGGAUUGUCAAUGAUCUGCCAUGGGAAUUUGUUUUUCAUGGUUAUUUUAAAUUACCAUGAGACGUUUUUGUUUGUUGCUGGCUAUCAGGAAAUUGCAGUCUUUUCUAAUUAUUAAACUAAUUACACUAACUGGUAUAUAAGGAAAUUCAGCUAUGCCACAAACUGAAAAGUAAGAAACAAAUGCAUGAACGUUUUUUUUUUUUUUCUGUAAUGCAUGAAAGAAUAUAGCGUACAUAAUUUGAAACUUGAAGUCAAUAGCAUUUUUAUACACUUCCAUAAUCUUACUCAUACAUUAAUGUAGAUAGAUAGAAAUUGGAAAAUGAGACAAAAUUUUUAACCUCAUCUGCCAUGUAACAUGAUUUUGUGAGCUAACUUGAUUGAAUGUUCGAUGGAACAAGAAUUAUCAAAACAACUUGUUCAAAAAAGAUUCUAGCAUUUCUUCCAUUAUCUGCGAUUGGACCUGUCAGUUUUUCUUUCUUCUAUUGGACAUCUGCCUGCUAAAUUAGAAUCUGAUGAAUCAGAGAACAAUUGCUUCUAAGAGGAAAGUGGUAAAAGACAUGGCUUUAAACUCAGAACAGAGCCUCAAGGUUGAAAGAAGGAUAUGAGGUUAUUAUAAAAUCCCAGGCUGUGCGUGGAUGUGCCACAGAAAUCUGAUUACAAUAGAAAUCCAUAAUUUCCCUGAAAUCAGGAUGUCAAAAAUUCUAUACCAUGUAGCAAUCUCAAAUUUAUGACUUUUCAUCCAUAUAAUAUUACCUUUUUUUUCCAAUUUUAGAUCUCUCUUUUGGAAAUUUGGAGGAAAAAAAACUUCCACUCUGCCCGCAUCUUUGCAAAAUCGGUCCUUUUUUAUCUAUUUUGUAGAAACGACAGAUUGUUGGACUUUACUAGGUCUUCAUGUCCUUGACAAAUGAAUGGACACAUUUAGCAUAGUCGAUGCACAUAUAUUGGUAUUGGAUGCAUGGUUAAUACAGAUUAGUGCACAUGUAAAGAUGUUCUUACAA